UACGUAGGGUGCAAGCGUUGUCCGGAAUUAUUGGGCGUAAAGAGCUCGUAGGCGGUUUGUCGCGUCUGCUGUGAAAACUCGGGGCUUAACUCCGGGCCUGCAGUGGGUACGGGCAGACUAGAGUGCGGUAGGGGAGACUGGAAUUCCUGGUGUAGCGGUGAAAUGCGUAGAUAUUGGGAGGAACACCAGUGGCGAAGGCGGCUCACUGGACCGGAACUGACGCUGAUGCGCGAAAGCGUGGGGAGCAAACGGG
Molecule: ribosomal RNA, 253 nt
Filed under: uncultured bacterium
Lineage: Bacteria
Description: partial 16S ribosomal RNA
Rfam family: Bacterial small subunit ribosomal RNA
Source: RNAcentral